AAGUCGUAACAAGGUUUCCGUAGGUGAACCUGCGGAAGGAUCAUUUAAUGAGUUUGAACAGGACUUGAUGCUGGUCUGCUCUGGCGGACAUGUGCUCAGUUCUACUCAAUCCAUUCAACACCUGUGCACUUUCAAAGUUGAAGUCCUCCGUCAUGGGAGCUGCGGUCUUGUAAUGAGACUGCUGGGACUUCGCUUUGCCCAUUAUCACAAACCAAUUUGAAGUCUUGUAGAAUGUAACUAGCCUAAGGGCUUAAUCUAAUACAACUUUCAACAACGGAUCUCUUGGCUCUC
This 291-nucleotide unclassified non-coding RNA is filed under the name Corticium sp. (in: basidiomycete fungi). Its description in RNAcentral is "Corticium sp. (in: Fungi) partial internal transcribed spacer region". The stretch from base 1 to 46 matches the Rfam family "Eukaryotic small subunit ribosomal RNA", at positions 1786 to 1831 of the family's 1831-position model. Lineage: Eukaryota; Fungi; Basidiomycota; Agaricomycetes; Corticiales; Corticiaceae. The record is from RNAcentral.